Long non-coding RNA from Fundulus heteroclitus (mummichog), 737 nucleotides. RefSeq lists it as uncharacterized. The transcript is spliced from 4 exons. NCBI's taxonomy places the organism in Eukaryota, Metazoa, Chordata, Actinopteri, Cyprinodontiformes, Fundulidae. The record is from RefSeq and is a predicted model, not a curated record.
UAUUGAUUUGUUCUAUGUGUCUAGCCAAUGCUCUAAUAUGUUUAUGGUGGGUAGAGAAACAAAACUUUAAACAGUUUUGGGAAUGAUAAAGAAAGAGAUUAAUUAAAAGCAGAAUAUGGAUAUCCUGUUCUGAAGGAUGGAGAUGACAGAGGAGGAGAAGUUCACAGCUCUUGUAAUUUAAAGUCUAAAUAUAAACCAGCAAGGGUGCGAUGAGCAGCUAUAAACAGACGUGGCGCCAUCUACAGGCAGUAUUACUGAACUAUCAAAGCCAGAGCCUAAUACCAGAACAUCACGGAGAAAGAAAAUUCUCCUUCAUAAACACAAACUGGGACACAGCAUCAAGAAAAAGAAGAAUGCUCUCAGGAAAUCAAAAAACUCCAGAGAAAGAUCAUAUUUCUUAUAUUAUGAUUAGGCCGGUUAGUAAACCAUCUAAAACGGUUUCAUUGGGAAUUCUUCACAAGGUCUGGGAAGAAGAAGCUGGUUUACCUAAAGCCUGCAAGAAGUUGCCAUCAAGCAGAUUAUAAAACCAGAGAGAGCAAUCAAACCCAGGGAGUUAUAGACUAAUAGCUUUAACUUCACAUCUCUUCAAUCAAUUCUUCCACCUCUUUUACCUGCUGCUGAUCUUACGCUGUCACCUCAGAAACAUUCACCAAAGCCUCACAAGACAACGGAAACAUUUCACAUCCAUGUGCAUUACCCGUUAUUCCCAGUACGUGCAUGUUAAGAUGAUACGUAUG